AUAUUUUAAUAAUGAUUUGCAGUAAGAUAAAUAUGCACAGAAAAGUGAGUCUGUACUAGUGCCAUUGCUACCUAACAAUAAGUAAUGUUUUAAUGCAGCAAGCUUGCUAAUUUCAGUAUCUCCCUAAUGGAAUUUGUUAAUCGCUGAGAUGAUAGUAAAAUAUGCACGGUUUAUGGAAGUUUUCACCGCGGAUAUGCAAAUUGGAAACCUGCAGUUGUUGCUAGUACUCGUAAUAUUCUUUCGCAACAUAACUCCCACAAGGAAUGGCCGGUCACGUAUGCCGCACAACGUAGCUUACUAUCCCAGAAGCUUCUAUCGGACACUUGUUGACAAUGCAGGUCCAAAAGUUUACGGGGAUAAGCGAAAAGGAGCACCGUAUAUUCGAACCGCACCUGCACCG
This is a long non-coding RNA of Paramacrobiotus metropolitanus, 400 nucleotides long. RefSeq lists it as uncharacterized. Lineage: Eukaryota; Metazoa; Tardigrada; Eutardigrada; Parachela; Macrobiotidae. The record is from RefSeq and is a predicted model, not a curated record. The transcript has 3 exons.